GUCUUUGGAUGUGGCGGAGAAAGAGAUCGGGGGAAGAGGCCGCUGAUGACAAAAAUUGCAGCUGAUAAAAGUGAUGUGGUUAUUCUGACAUCAGACAAUCCAAGGAACGAAGAUCCAUCGACAAUCUUGGAUGACAUGCUAGCUGGUGUUGGAUACACAAUGCAAGAGUCCUCAUCACCCGGCGGAAGCAAAAUCUAUCCAAAGCUUCCAAAUGGCUGUACACUCUUAGUAAAUGAGGACAGAAGAGUAGCCCUGCAAGCUGCCAUUGCCAUGGGAAA
This is a long non-coding RNA of Musa acuminata AAA Group (dessert banana), 278 nucleotides long. RefSeq lists it as uncharacterized. The transcript is spliced from 2 exons. The record is from RefSeq and is a predicted model, not a curated record. Lineage: Eukaryota; Viridiplantae; Streptophyta; Magnoliopsida; Zingiberales; Musaceae.